This is a long non-coding RNA of Chroicocephalus ridibundus (black-headed gull), 1195 nucleotides long. RefSeq lists it as uncharacterized. The transcript has 3 exons. The record is from RefSeq and is a predicted model, not a curated record. Lineage: Eukaryota; Metazoa; Chordata; Aves; Charadriiformes; Laridae.
UCUGUUUGUUUUUCCAGCGAGCUGCUCUCCACGAGCAGUGUGCUGGCGUUUCGGGGUGGCCUCCUGACUGCCCCAGGGCUUUCUUCUACCAGCCAGAGCCACCUCUCUUUGCAGCCAGCCUCUCCUACUGCAGUGCCUCUCUUGGCCACAAUAUUUGUGAAAUAUUGUGACUAUUUCGGCGGCUGCCUGCCUUUUUGUAGAUACAGGGUCUUCUCUCCAAGCCCAGCACACCUCAACAUGCCGCUGAAGGUGGAAUGGGAGGCAGCUUCACCCUAGUCUGGGAAUUUUGGAAUACAGAAAGAUGAUAGGAAAGGAGGGCUGCAGACGGCGUGGAGUGGCCAAACACCUGCCCCGUCGCUUGCCCGCGCAGACGCUGCUGCAGCUCGGGGAGGGAUGCUGCCAGCAGCACCUAUGGAUAAGGAGGCAGAAGACUGGAUGGGAAGGCAGGUGAGUGUGUAGGAAGGUGGAUGAGCAUAUAGGAAGGUGGGUUGGCAUAGAGGAAGGCAGGUGAGCAUAUAGGAAGGUGGAUGAGUGUAUGGGAAGGCAGGUGAGUGUAUAGGAGGUCAGGUGAAUGUCUAGGCAGGCAGAUGAGCAUAUAGAAAGGCAGUUGAGCCUAUGGAAGGGCAGGUGAGUGUAUAGGAAUGCUGAUAAGCGUACAGGAAGGCAGAUGAGUGUAUAGGAGGGCAGGUGAGUGUAUAGGAAGGCGGAUGAGCAUAUAGAAAGGCAGGUGAACACACGGGAAGGCAGAUGAGUGUGUAGGGAGGCAGAUGAGUGUGUAGGAAGCCAGAUGAGCAUAUAGGAAGCCAGAUGAGCAUAUAGAAAGGCAGGUGAGCGUGUAGGAAGGUGGAUGAGUGUGUAGGAAGGUGGAUGAGUGUAUAGGAGGGCAGGUGGGCAUAUAGGAAGGCAGGUGAGCAUAUAGACUCCCCCCAGGCACGCCGGGGGGUCAGUUAGUUGUAGCCCCCCAAGGGGCAGCACCUCUGUCCAUCGACGAGAGCCGGUGCUUACAGAGGGGGUGGGUCUGCCAGGGGGGCAAGAACCAGGUGAGCAGAAACCUCCACUCCCAGUGGCUCCGAGCCACCCAAGCCUCGCCUCGCUGAACACGGCCGCGCUGGCACAGCCGUGCCGGACCCUGUGUGCCGAGGCUGUGCCGAGAUGACUCACCCCGCUGCUUGCAGCAGCCACACUUCCAACUAGC